Molecule: ribosomal RNA, 468 nt
Filed under: uncultured bacterium
Lineage: Bacteria
Description: partial 16S ribosomal RNA
Rfam family: Bacterial small subunit ribosomal RNA
Source: RNAcentral
GACGAACGCUGGCGGCGUGCUUAACACAUGCAAGUCGAACGGAAAGGCCCUGCUUUUGUGGGGUGCUCGAGUGGCGAACGGGUGAGUAACACGUGAGUAACCUGCCCUUGACUUUGGGAUAACUUCAGGAAACUGGGGCUAAUACCGGAUAGGAGCUCCUGCUGCAUGUUGGGGUUUGGACAGUUUCGGCUGUUGGGGAUGGACUCGCGGCUUAUCAGCUUGUUGGUGGGGUAGUGGCUUACCAAGGCUUUGACGGGUAGCCGGCCUGAGAGGGUGACCGGCCACAUUGGGACUGAGAUACGGCCCAGACUCCUACGGGAGGCAGCAGUGGGGAAUAUUGCACAAUGGGCGGAAGCCUGAUGCAGCAACGCCGCGUGCGGGAUGACGGCCUUCGGGUUGUAAACCGCUUUCGCCUGUGACGAAGCGUGAGUGACGGUAAUGGGUAAAGAAGCACCGGCUAACUACGUG